GUGGGGAAUAUUGGACAAUGGGCGCAAGCCUGAUCCAGCCAUGCCGCGUGAGUGAUGAAGGCCUUAGGGUUGUAAAGCUCUUUCGCCGGUGAAGAUAAUGACGGUAACCGGAGAAGAAGCCCCGGCUAACUUCGUGCCAGCAGCCGCGGUAAUACGAAGGGGGCUAGCGUUGCUCGGAAUCACUGGGCGUAAAGCGCACGUAGGCGGAUCGUUAAGUCAGGGGUGAAAUCCUGGAGCUCAACUCCAGAACUGCCCUUGAUACUGGCGAUCUCGAGUUCGAGAGAGGUUGGUGGAACUCCGAGUGUAGAGGUGAAAUUCGUAGAUAUUCGGAAGAACACCAGUGGCGAAGGCGGCCAACUGGCUCGAUACUGACGCUGAGGUGCGAAAGCGUGGGGAGCAAACAGGAUUAGAAACCCUAGUAGUCC
This 425-nucleotide ribosomal RNA is filed under the name uncultured bacterium. Its description in RNAcentral is "bacterial SSU rRNA". It matches the Rfam family "Bacterial small subunit ribosomal RNA", at positions 354 to 796 of the family's 1533-position model. The record is from RNAcentral.